This 102-nucleotide Y RNA is filed under the name Jaculus jaculus (lesser Egyptian jerboa). RNAcentral's name for it is "Y RNA (ENSJJAG00000006717.1)". It matches the Rfam family "Y RNA". Rfam says of the family: Y RNAs are components of the Ro ribonucleoprotein particle (Ro RNP), in association with Ro60 and La proteins. The Y RNAs and Ro60 and La proteins are well conserved, but the function of the Ro RNP is not known. Lineage: Eukaryota; Metazoa; Chordata; Mammalia; Rodentia; Dipodidae. The record is from Rfam by way of RNAcentral.
GGGUGGCCCAAAGGUAAUGAGUUACCUCAGUUAAUUGUUCACAGUUGAACUCCUUGUUCUACCCAUUUUCCCCUUCUCACUACUGCACUUGACUGCUCUCUU